This 439-nucleotide long non-coding RNA is filed under the name Musa acuminata (dwarf banana). Its description in RNAcentral is "long non-coding RNA (MACU_LNC000340)". Lineage: Eukaryota; Viridiplantae; Streptophyta; Magnoliopsida; Zingiberales; Musaceae. The record is from RNAcentral.
UGCGACCAAAUGUGCAUAUGCUGUUACACUCAUGAAAACAGUGUAAACAUACAAUUGAAAUCUUUAAAUAUAAUGAUAGAUGCCAUUAUAUGAUUGCCCUCAGUAUGUAGUUUUGGAUAAUCUUUGAAUUAGUCUCAAAGCGACCAUCUCUCCAAGCAUGGAGAAGCCCUUUCUUGGCCCUUCGCAGCCAUUGCUUCACAUCAAAUGCUUCGCGUUGAAGAGCCGACAAAUGCAAAGUAGGCUGCUGCCAAGCAAAAUGCUCAGUAUCCCUCUUUUUCUCUUACGUAUAACGAAUCUAAGACUCCCACCCUCCUGCAAAGAGUAAGCCAUUAGUGUUAAUGUUAAGGAAGCCAAAGGAGGUUUAGUUCACAUGAUAACAGAAUACAAUUUCUAGCAAAAUAAUUAGUGUCAGCCACAAUUUUCUUCAAAUUCCUAUAGC